RNAcentral lists this ribosomal RNA (655 nucleotides) under Sclerogaster xerophilus. RNAcentral describes it as "eukaryotic LSU rRNA". It matches the Rfam family "Eukaryotic large subunit ribosomal RNA", at positions 46 to 684 of the family's 3401-position model. Lineage: Eukaryota; Fungi; Basidiomycota; Agaricomycetes. The record is from RNAcentral.
AUAAGCGGAGGAAAAGAGACUAACAAGGAUUCCCCUAGUACGGCGAGUGAAGCGGGAAGAGCUCAAAUUUAAAAUCUGACGGUCCAAGAUCGUCCGAGUUGUAAUCUAGAGAAGUGUUAUCUGUGCUGGACCGUGUACAAGUCCCUUGGAACAGGGCGUCAUAGAGGGUGAGAAUCCCGUCUACGGCAUGGACUCCCAGUACUGUGUGAUGCACUCUCGACGAGUCGAGUUGUUUGGGAAUGCAGCUCAAAAUGGGUGGUAAAUUCCAUCUAAAGCUAAAUACAGGCAAAAGACCGAUAGCGAACAAGUACCGUGAGGGAAAGAUGAAAAGCACUUUGGAAAGAGAGUUAAACAGUACGUGAAAUUGUUGAAAGGGAAACGCUUAAAGUCAGUCGCGUCUUCAGAGACUCAGCYCAGCUUGCUGGGUGCACUUCUCUGGUGACGGGUCAGCGUCAGUUUCGGCCGUCGGAAAAAGGCCGGAGGAAGGUGGCACCUUUGGGUGUGUUAUAGCCUCCGGUUGUAUGCGACGGCUUGGGACUGAGGAUCGCAGCAUGCCCCUCGGGGCCGGGGUUCGCCCACGUAACAUGCUUAGGAUGCUGACGUAAUGGCUUUAAACGACCCGUCUUGAAACACGGACCAAGGAGUCUAACAUGCC